GUGUCAGUGAUCAGGCUGAUCACAGCAAUCAACACAAACAAAGCAGAUUGAACUGGUGAACCCGGUUUCGCGCCUCUUCUCCGCAGUUUGAGCGGCGCGCUGCUCUCCGGCUUCAGUGACUCAGGAAACACCACAGAGGGAACGACAGCCUCCUGACAUGGCAGCUCUUCUUGAGUUUAAUUCCGUGGAUUUGGAUCAGCCGCUCUUCCAGCCUCACCCAUCUGAGCUGGUCUUCCAGAAGUUCACUCCUGCACGGACCUACGUGUUACCUCUGCGGCUCGUCAACAGAGACAAGGGAAUUUCAGGCUUCUGAGAGGGACCUUCCUCUCACUCUCAGCUUUGACUGUCCAGCCCGGGACGUCCAGCCAGGGCAGCGCCUGCUCUCCUCCUCAGGUGGAGGACUUGGUGGAGGACUUGGUGGAGCCUGUGCUGCAUCGGCCCUCCUCCUUGGACCUUCCUCUCCAGACUUUGUCUGACUCUGUCCAGCCCGGGACGUCCAGCCAGGGCAGCACCUGUUCCCCUCCUCAGAUGGAGGACUUCAUGGAGCAGCCUGUGCUGCAUCGGCCGCCCUCCUCCUGUCCUCACUGUGGCUCAUCUGUGCUCACCCCUGAACACUUUGCAUUUAAACAUGAUGUUUAUUGUGAGGUCACAGGUGAGCAUGGGGGGACUCUGGAGGACUGGCUGAAGGACAGGGGGGUGCCCAGGACCACCAUUUGGCGCCUUAAAAAAAAAAGGCAACAGAUGCUGAGUGGCACGCUCCCCCCCCCUAAGUCCCGGACCUGUCCCAAAUGUGGGGAGAGGAGGACCAGAGCCACUGGACACUCCAGACUGAACAGGGAGACGUUCUGCCAGAAGUCAGACCCACAAGGCAGAACAGUGGAGCAGUGGCUCACAGAGAAGAGGGGGGGGUCACCAG
Molecule: long non-coding RNA, 916 nt
Organism: Pseudoliparis swirei
Lineage: Eukaryota; Metazoa; Chordata; Actinopteri; Perciformes; Liparidae
Exons: 3
Source: RefSeq, a predicted model, not a curated record